This 72-nucleotide transfer RNA is filed under the name Bos taurus (domestic cattle). It matches the Rfam family "tRNA". From Rfam's summary of the family: Transfer RNA (tRNA) molecules are approximately 80 nucleotides in length. The record is from Rfam by way of RNAcentral. Lineage: Eukaryota; Metazoa; Chordata; Mammalia; Artiodactyla; Bovidae. RNAcentral also lists the same sequence under 1 other name.
UCCCUGAGGGUCCGGAGGCUAAGACUCUGUGCUCCCAAUGCAGGGGCCUGGGUUCAAUCCCUAGUCGGGGAA